This 57-nucleotide small RNA is filed under the name Caenorhabditis elegans. RNAcentral describes it as "Unclassified non-coding RNA T26C11.10". Lineage: Eukaryota; Metazoa; Nematoda; Chromadorea; Rhabditida; Rhabditidae. The record is from RNAcentral.
GGAAUAGGGGAUGGGAGAGUAUAUCGAAGAGAGAAUGGGAUGGGAAUGGGCUCAAAG